AGUAGAAUGGCUGAGGUGUAAAGGUGAUAGAUUGUAAAUCUAUUGAGGGGUGAAUCCCUUCUACUA
RNAcentral lists this transfer RNA (66 nucleotides) under Stolotermes ruficeps. Its description in RNAcentral is "tRNA-Tyr". It matches the Rfam family "tRNA". From Rfam's summary of the family: Transfer RNA (tRNA) molecules are approximately 80 nucleotides in length. Their secondary structure includes four short double-helical elements and three loops (D, anti-codon, and T loops). The record is from RNAcentral. Lineage: Eukaryota; Metazoa; Arthropoda; Insecta; Blattodea; Termopsidae.